This 631-nucleotide ribosomal RNA is filed under the name uncultured bacterium. RNAcentral's name for it is "bacterial SSU rRNA". It matches the Rfam family "Bacterial small subunit ribosomal RNA", at positions 383 to 1003 of the family's 1533-position model. The record is from RNAcentral.
CUGACGCAGCGACGCCGCGUGGAGGAUGAAGGUCUUCGGAUUGUAAACUUCUGUUAAGUGGGAAGAAAAGCCUCUUUCUAAUACAGAGAGGUAAUGACGGUACCAUUAAAGAAAGCACCGGCUAACUUCGUGCCAGCAGCCGCGGUAAUACGAAGGGUGCGAACGUUAUUCGGAAUAAUUGGGCGUAAAGGGUGCGCAGGCGGCGCGCUAAGUCAACCGUUAAAGUCCCCGGCCUAACUGGGGGUAUGCGGUAGAUACUGGCGUGCUAGAGUAUGGAAGAGAGAAGUGGAAUUCUCGGAGUAGCGGUAAAAUGCGUAGAUCUCGAGAGGAACACCGAUGGCGAAGGCAGCUUCUUGGUCCAUUACUGACGCUCAUGCACGAAAGCGUGGGGAGCAAACAGGAUUAGAUACCCUGGUAGUCCACGCUGUAAACGAUGAUCACUAGACGUUGGCUUUGCUUAGCAGAGUCAGUGUCGUAGCUAACGCGUUAAGUGAUCCGCCUGGGGAGUACGGUCGCAAGAUUAAAACUCAAAGGAAUUGACGGGGGUCCGCACAAGCGGUGGAACAUGUGGUUUAAUUCGACAAUACGCGAGGAACCUUACCUAGGCUUGACAUGUUUUUGACAGCUCUAG